RNA transcript from Rhodamnia argentea, 4626 nucleotides. It is a transcript of the gene named auxin response factor 2A, with no coding region annotated. NCBI's taxonomy places the organism in Eukaryota, Viridiplantae, Streptophyta, Magnoliopsida, Myrtales, Myrtaceae. The record is from RefSeq and is a predicted model, not a curated record. The transcript is spliced from 18 exons.
UCUCCAAGCAACUGCAAGCAGCCUGAACUCAUAUCAAAAACAGAAGAAGACCAUUACCCAGCAGAGAGUCGCAAGUCCACCCGCAAAUUCCAUAUUCUCGACGAACCAAGCGCCAGCGAUUUCACGGUCUCCUUUGCCUUCUCCUCCUCUUCCUUUCAUGUGUUUCCGGUCCAAAUAGCAGGUUCCUGAUUUGGAGGACGACGACGAGCUCCGAGCACAAGCCCUUCCGUCCGAUACUCUCCAGUUCCACCUCGAUUUCUCCCUCAUAGCUAGUGUACUGCGCUCUAUUUCUCCUUCGACCUCAUCCUGUAUUGGAGCGGCCUUGGGUCAUGGAUUGAGCGGGCUGAGUGAAGCUCAGGGUGUUCUUAUCGUCGUGUCUGACUAUACUUUUUGGCGGGAGACGAGAGAUCUGUGCUGCGACCAGGUAGAAAUGGCGUCGGGGAAUGUCAGGGUAGAGGGCCGAGCUGAUGUUGAAACUGCGCUCUACAAUGAGCUCUGGCAAGCCUGCGCUGGUCCUCUCGUCGCCGUCCCUCGUCAAGGCGAGCGUGUUUUCUAUUUUCCCCAGGGCCACAUCGAGCAGGUCGAGGCCUCCACCAAUCAGGUCGCCAACCAGCAGAUGCCCCUCUAUAAUCUUCCCUCAAAGAUCCUUUGUCGUGUCAUCAACGUCCAAUUGAAGGCUGAACCAGACACUGAUGAGGUGUUUGCGCAAAUAACCUUGCUUCCCGAGGCAAACCAAGAUGAGAACUCCCUGGACAAGGAACCUCCUCCUCCCCCUCCUCCAAGAUUUAAGGUGCAUUCUUUCUGCAAGACCUUGACUGCCUCGGACACCAGCACUCAUGGUGGAUUCUCAGUGUUGAGACGUCAUGCGGAUGAAUGCCUUCCACCCCUGGACAUGUCCAAGCAACCUCCUACACAAGAACUGGCUGCCAAGGAUUUGCAUGGGAAUGAAUGGCGUUUUCGGCACAUAUUCCGGGGUCAGCCAAGGAGGCACCUACUGCAAAGUGGUUGGAGUGUUUUUGUGAGCUCCAAAAGACUUGUCUCUGGAGAUGCAUUUAUAUUCCUAAGGGGCGAAAAUGGGGAACUUCGUGUUGGUGUUAGACGAGCUAUGAAACAGCAAGCCAACGUUUCACCAUCGGUCAUAUCUAGUCACAGCAUGCAUCUUGGCGUCCUUGCUACGGCAUGGCAUGCCAUUUCUACAGGAACUAUGUUCACUGUUUACUACAAACCUAGGAUAAGCCCUGCUGAGUUCAUCAUCCCUUAUGAUCAGUACAUGGAGUCUCUCAAGAAGAAUUACUCCAUUGGAAUGAGAUUCAAAAUGAGAUUUGAAGGGGAAGAAGCUCCGGAGCAGAGGUUUACUGGAACAAUAGUUGGCGUUGAAGAUGCUGACCCAAAAGGGUGGCGAGAUUCAAAAUGGAGAAGUCUCAAGGUGAGAUGGGAUGAGAAUUCUGCCAUACCUCGUCCAGAAAGAGUAUCACCUUGGAAUAUAGAACCUGCUAUGGCUCCUCUUGCUCUAAACCCUCUUGCAGUUUCCAGGCCUAAAAGGCCUAGGACAAGCAUUUUGCCCUCGUCUCCUGAAUCUUCAGUUCUUACUAGGGAAGGUUAUAUAUGUAAAGUAGGUGCAGACCCUUCAUGUUCAAAUGGGUAUUCGAGGGUCUUGCAAGAUCCAGAAUCAUCGAUCUUGAGAGGAAUUGCCACCAAUAAUGAUUUUGAUGCCAUGGAGAAGUCUGUAAUGUUUCCACCUUCACUGGAGGAAGAAAAGUUUGAUAUGCUUUCUGCUUCUAAACGACAUGAACUGGAGAGCUGGAUGACUUCAAGCAGGAGGGGGCCAACCUGCGCUGAUUUACUAUCAGGUUUCGGUGGAGAUACUGAUGUCUCCCGUGGGUUCAGCUUGUCCUCUGAACAAUCUUCUGCAGCUAAUCCAGCGAGGAAACAGUUAGUAGAUCAGGAAAGGAAAUAUCAUAUAAUCGGGAAUUCUUGGUCCAUGAUACCUUCUACUCUAUCGCUUAACUUGUCAGAAUCUAAUAGGAACACUUCUUUACAUGGAAAUGAUACGCACUCUCCGCAAUGUAUUGGUCAAUAUAGCGGGUCCAAUGAAUAUCCAGUUGUUCAUGGCCAGAGAGUUGAGCAGCCACAUCAGAAUUGGGUGAUGCGUCCACCCACGUCACCUCAUUUUAAUUUUCCUCAUGCAAGUGAGUCAAUCUCGAAGUCUGCCUUGGAGCAACAGCAUGAAGCCUCAAAAGCAAAGGAAGGCAACUGCAAGCUCUUUGGAAUUCCUUUGGCCAGCAAUCCUGUUAUGCCUAAAUUUGCUCUUUCAGUUGGAAGCAUGACAAAUGUGUUAAUAGACCAUAUGCAUUCCCCUUCAUGCCAAGCUCAUGGGUUUCCACUGGAUCAGCCAACAGAGACACUAAAUGGGGCAAACAAUGGAGAUGAUCUGGUUGCCAAUGAGCUGGAGAAGGAGAAGCUGUUCCAGAAUAGUCAACCAUAUAGCAGAGAAAUCCAACAUAGGGUGCAGGGAAGCUCAACUAGAAGCUGUACUAAGGUUCACAAGCAGGGGAUUGCGCUUGGUAGAUCUGUGGACCUAGCCAAGUUCAACAAUUAUGACGAACUGGUGGCGGAAUUAGAUCGAUUAUUUGAAUUUGGUGGGGAGUUAAUGAAUCCGAGGAGCAACUGGCUAAUUGUAUAUACUGAUGACGAGGGUGACAUGAUGCUUGUUGGGGAUGACCCGUGGCAGGAAUUUUGUGGCAUUGUUCGGAAGAUUUCUAUUUAUACUCGAGAGGAGGUUCAAAAGAUGAACCCAAGGACUAUUAGUUCCAAGGACGAAGACAAUUUGAUGGUCGAUGAAGGGGUGGUUUCAAAGAAAAUGACUUUGGACGUGCUGCCUUCAGCAUCUGUCGCUAAAAACUGUUAAAAUUUUUCUCAUCUCUGUGAGGUCUUUUAAAGUCAUUGGCUGAGCCUAAUCAAGUCGUUCCCUGAUGCUGAAAUUCGUUGCUGUCCACGGGGACUACACAUGAUCUUCUUUGUCUAUUUUCUCUGUGCUUCAGUGACCAUUUUCUGUCCGACAAAGCCGUAUUUGUAUCAUCAAUGGUAUCCUUGGAUUUGGCUUCAAGAUGCAUGGCUCCCUGAGGAGGCCAGAGGCAAAUCAAAAAGGAGAACAAUGAGGCUGUUUGUACUCAGCAUUUUUUAGAAGACGUCGAAGCUCGAGUGGCCAUGAGACUCUAGAUUGAGCAUCAAGUGCCACAACACUUUGAAUCUAGUAGUCGUGGCUGCGAGCUCGAGCUUUGCAGCUAUGGCGGCCAUGAGACGCCGGAUCGAGCAUCCCAUUGCCACGACACUUCCAUCUAGCAGCCAUGGGUGCGUGAGCUUGAAGCUCGAGCGGCCAUGGAUGCCGUGAGCGAGCUGGAGCUCUAGAUAUGGUGGGUUGAGCAUUCAUUGCCACGACGCUCCAGAUCUAGCGGCUAUGGCCACAAACCUUGAAAACUUACGUGACUUUGUUAGCAAGCUUGAGGCCACGAAUGAGCAGAGGUUUGUCUGAAGGUCAGCUAGUGGUUUUGAAGUUGAAGAUGCGUUUUAGGAUUUAAGAGGAAGAACUCUGUUCAUUUUUGCCAAAAGGUUUGAGUUGCUGCAGAUGUUGAUGGAGAGAAAGAGGGAGGGAGAGGGAGAGGGAGAGGGAGAGGGAGAGGAGAGGGGGGGGGAGGGGGAAGUCCCUUUGGACACUCCACAUCACCUUUUCUUUUUUCAAACAAAAGUCUAAACCAGCUUUUUUUGACUGCGUCAAGUUCACGUCAGCAAUUUCUAAUUGCAUCAAGUCCAUAUCAGCAAAAUCCUUCAUCGGAACUGUGCAAGGACGGAUGAUGGCACAUUUUAUGGACCAUUGUGAACCAAAAACAGUUGAUGGACAGUUUUGAAUUUCGAGCAAAAGUAGAGGGACUACUGGUGACAUUAUCCUGCCAUUUUGUCUUUCGCGUUUCUUAUUUUGUGUGUAACUGAGAAUCUGCGCAUAUAUGAACGUUGAAUAGGCCAGGGGAGUUGAAAUGGAUCGCUACUGGGGGAGCUUCCACAGCGAAUGGGCUUCACUUCUUAUAGAGUUGUUGUUGACUACCUCUUCAUGGUGAUUGGGUGCUACUUAAGCACAUCAUCCGCUUCUUGAGGAGAAUACUAGCUUGAUGCAGUGAGUUCUGGUUGUUGCUAUUGUACUUGUGGUGGAUGAAUGACUAUAUUUUGAUUGUACUGACAUUGGGGAUUUCAUGAUGAAUGGAAACGACGGCAAAUCAAUAUUUGCUUGUGGUUUUGACAAGGAAGGUGGUGCAGGAGUGAGGAAGAGUCGAAGCAAAAGAGAGCCAUGCUAUGCUAUGAGUUUUUUCUUUUUUUUUUGGGUAUCAUGUAAGUUUGGACAGACCCGAAGAACCUUCUGUUUUGGUUUUUCUGUUCGGUGUUCCCGUCGAUGUCUUACAAAGGUAGUCUUCUUAAAAUUUCCUGUAUUUCUCGGCUUCAGAUAAUUUCAGAUUUCAAGUGGUCGGCAAAGUGUAGGAAAAAAACAACACAGAAUUAUCAUUGCUCAACUCUGGUUGUAUAUAUAGCUUCUUUGGGCGUGUGAACCUAUAUGAAAAGAAUGUAUCUCUUUGUUCU